This is a non-coding RNA of Agrilus planipennis (emerald ash borer), 214 nucleotides long. The record is from Rfam. NCBI's taxonomy places the organism in Eukaryota, Metazoa, Arthropoda, Insecta, Coleoptera, Buprestidae.
ACUUUACAACUUUUACUUUUUAUCAAAAGAUAUUGUUUUGUCGCUAAAUAUUGUCUGUAUUAAAUUUUGUCGCUUUUGUCAUAAGGAUGCAUAUCUUAAUUGAGGUAGAGGGGUUUUAGUCGGUAGGUCCAAGGACUUCUUUCUCGGGAAUCCGACACUACCCAGUCGUACGGACGGCUGGGUGUCUUCUGAAGAUUUCCCCUCUUCCACGAAA